CCUACGGGAGGCAGCAGUAGGGAAUCUUCCACAAUGGACGAAAGUCUGAUGGAGCAACGCCGCGUGAGUGAAGAAGUAAUUCGUUAUGUAAAGCUCUAUCAGCAGGGAAGAAAAUGACGGUAACUGAGUAAGAAGCCCCGGCUAACUACGUGCCAGCAGCCGCGGGAAUACGUAGGGGGCAAGCGUUAUCCGGAUUUACUGGGUGUAAAGGGAGCGUAGACGGCAGUGCAAGUCUGGAGUGAAAGGCGGGGGCUCAACCCCCGGACUGCUCUGGAAACUGUACGGCUGGAGUGCAGGAGAGGUAAGUGGAAUUCCUAGUGUAGCGGUGAAAUGCGUAGAUAUUAGGAGGAACACCAGUGGCGAAGGCGGCUUACUGGACUGUAACUGACGUUGAGGCUCGAAAGCGUGGGGAGCAAACAGGAUUAGAUACCCCAGUAGUC
Molecule: ribosomal RNA, 440 nt
Filed under: uncultured bacterium
Lineage: Bacteria
Description: partial 16S ribosomal RNA
Rfam family: Bacterial small subunit ribosomal RNA
Source: RNAcentral